Molecule: transfer RNA, 71 nt
Filed under: Centrochelys sulcata (African spurred tortoise)
Lineage: Eukaryota; Metazoa; Chordata; Testudines; Testudinidae
Description: tRNA-Phe
Source: RNAcentral
GUUAUUGUAGCUUACCAUCAAAGCAUGGCACUGAAGUUGCCAAGAUGGAUGACUAACACAUCCCAAAAACA